CCUACGGGAGGCAGCAGUGGGGAAUAUUGGACAAUGGGCGAAAGCCUGAUCCAGCCAUGCCGCGUGUGUGAAGAAGGCCUUCGGGUUGUAAAGCACUUUCAGUGGGGAAGAAAGCCUUGGGGCUAAUACCCUCGAGGAAGGACAUCACCCACAGAAGAAGCACCGGCUAACUCCGUGCCAGCAGCCGCGGUAAUACGGAGGGUGCGAGCGUUAAUCGGAAUUACUGGGCGUAAAGCGCGCGUAGGCGGUCUGAUAAGCCGGUUGUGAAAGCCCCGGGCUCAACCUGGGAACGGCAUCCGGAACUGGGCGGUGAGGGGGAGGGCAGGAAGGGUAAAAUCCCCGGGGUAGGGGUGAAAUGCGUAGAGAUCGGGAGGAAUACCAGGGGCGGAGGGGCCCUCCUGGACUAACACUGACGCUGGGGGGCGAAGGCGUGGGUACCAAACGGAGUUAGAAACCCGUGUAGUC
This 465-nucleotide ribosomal RNA is filed under the name Vreelandella stevensii. RNAcentral's name for it is "partial 16S ribosomal RNA". It matches the Rfam family "Bacterial small subunit ribosomal RNA", at positions 338 to 795 of the family's 1533-position model. Lineage: Bacteria; Pseudomonadati; Pseudomonadota; Gammaproteobacteria; Oceanospirillales; Halomonadaceae. The record is from RNAcentral.